UGGGGAAUAUUGGACAAUGGGCGCAAGCCUGAUCCAGCCAUGCCGCGUGAGUGAUGAAGGCCCUAGGGUUGUAAAGCUCUUUCACCGGUGAAGAUAAUGACGGUAACCGGAGAAGAAGCCCCGGCUAACUUCGUGCCAGCAGCCGCGGUAAUACGAAGGGGGCUAGCGUUGUUCGGAUUUACUGGGCGUAAAGCGCACGUAGGCGGACUAUUAAGUCAGGGGUGAAAUCCCGGGGCUCAACCCCGGAACUGCCUUAGAUACUGGUAGUCUUGAGUUCGGGAGAGGUGAGUGGAAUUCCGAGUGUAGAGGUGAAAUGCGUAGAUAUUCGGAGGAACACCAGUGGCGAAGGCGGCUCACUGGCUCGAUACUGACGCUGAGGUGCGAAAGCGUGGGGAGCAAACAGG
RNAcentral lists this ribosomal RNA (404 nucleotides) under Actinomycetes bacterium. RNAcentral describes it as "Actinobacteria bacterium partial 16S ribosomal RNA". It matches the Rfam family "Bacterial small subunit ribosomal RNA", at positions 355 to 776 of the family's 1533-position model. The record is from RNAcentral. Lineage: Bacteria; Bacillati; Actinomycetota; Actinomycetes.